AGUGAACGCUGGCGGUAGGCCUAACACAUGCAAGUCGAACGGCAGCACAGUAAGAGCUUGCUCUUACGGGUGGCGAGUGGCGGACGGGUGAGGAAUACAUCGGAAUCUACUUUUUCGUGGGGGAUAACGUAGGGAAACUUACGCUAAUACCGCAUACGACCUACGGGUGAAAGCAGGGGAUCUUCGGACCUUGCGCGAUUGAAUGAGCCGAUGUCGGAUUAGCUAGUUGGCGGGGUAAAGGCCCACCAAGGCGACGAUCCGUAGCUGGUCUGAGAGGAUGAUCAGCCAAAAUGGAACUGAGAAACGGUCCAGAAUCCUACGGGAGGGAGCAGUGGGGAAUAUUGGACAAUGGGCGCAAGCCUGAUCCAGCCAUAACGCGUGGGUGAAGAAGGCCUUUGGGUUGUAAAGCCCUUUUGUUGGGAAAGAAAAGCAGCAGGUUAAUACCCCGCUGUUCUGACGGUACCCAAAGAAUAAGCACCGGCUAACUUCGUG
This 492-nucleotide ribosomal RNA is filed under the name uncultured bacterium. Its description in RNAcentral is "partial 16S ribosomal RNA". It matches the Rfam family "Bacterial small subunit ribosomal RNA", at positions 29 to 507 of the family's 1533-position model. The record is from RNAcentral.